RNAcentral lists this small RNA (169 nucleotides) under Olea europaea subsp. europaea. Lineage: Eukaryota; Viridiplantae; Streptophyta; Magnoliopsida; Lamiales; Oleaceae. The record is from RNAcentral.
UGGGUCUAAAACGGGUCAUGACCUUGAACAAUUGGGCAUCUCUCUCUAUGUUGGAUCGAGAAUUGAGUUACUUGGUUAAACAAACAAACAAACUUUAAAAAAAAAAAAAAAAAAAAAAAAAAAAAUUUUUUUUUUUUUUUUUUUUUAUCCAGUGCGGGCAUCUGCCCGC